CUGGUUCCGGUUCACGUGGGCGUCGUACGACGUCGACGACCCGGCGACC
The submitters of this non-coding RNA (49 nucleotides) gave its source as unclassified sequences. The record is from Rfam.